Molecule: ribosomal RNA, 393 nt
Filed under: uncultured bacterium
Lineage: Bacteria
Description: bacterial SSU rRNA
Rfam family: Bacterial small subunit ribosomal RNA
Source: RNAcentral
GUGUCAGCAGCCGCGGUAAUACGUAGGGUGCUAGCGUUAAUCGGAAUUACUGGGCGUAAAGGGUGCGCAGGCGGUCCUGUAAGUCAGAUGUGAAAUCCCCGGGCUUAACCUGGGAAUUGCGUUUGAAACUACAGAGCUAGAGUGUAAAAGAGGGAGGUGGAAUUCCAUGUGUAGCAGUGAAAUGCGUAGAGAUAUGGAAGAACAUCGAUGGCGAAGGCAGCCUCCUGGUUUAACACUGACGCUCAUGCACGAAAGCGUGGGGAGCAAACAGGAUUAGAUACCCUGGUAGUCCACGCCCUAAACCAUGUCAACUAGUUGUUGGGCUUUAAAAAGCUUAGUAACGUAGCUAACGCGUGAAGUUGACCGCCUGGGGAGUACGGUCGCAAGAUUAAA